Molecule: transfer RNA, 76 nt
Filed under: Dehalococcoidales bacterium
Lineage: Bacteria; Bacillati; Chloroflexota; Dehalococcoidia; Dehalococcoidales
Also listed under: 2 other names
Description: tRNA-Glu
Rfam family: tRNA
About the family: Transfer RNA (tRNA) molecules are approximately 80 nucleotides in length. Their secondary structure includes four short double-helical elements and three loops (D, anti-codon, and T loops).
Source: RNAcentral
GCCCCCAUCGUCUAGAGGCCUAGGACAGCAGCCUUUCAAGCUGCCGACAGGGAUUCGAAUUCCCUUGGGGGCGCCA